Molecule: ribosomal RNA, 119 nt
Filed under: Helianthus annuus (common sunflower)
Lineage: Eukaryota; Viridiplantae; Streptophyta; Magnoliopsida; Asterales; Asteraceae
Source: RNAcentral
GGUUGCGAUCAUACCAGCACUAAUGCACCGGAUUCCAUCAGAACUCCGCAGUUAAGCAUGCUUGAGCGAGAGUAGUACUAGGAUGGGUGACCCCCUGGGAAGUCCUCGUGUUGCAACCC